RNAcentral lists this ribosomal RNA (115 nucleotides) under Trametes versicolor. RNAcentral's name for it is "5.8S ribosomal RNA". It matches the Rfam family "5.8S ribosomal RNA", at positions 5 to 119 of the family's 154-position model. From Rfam's summary of the family: 5.8S ribosomal RNA (5.8S rRNA) is a component of the large subunit of the eukaryotic ribosome. It is transcribed by RNA polymerase I as part of the 45S precursor that also contains 18S and 28S rRNA. The record is from RNAcentral. Lineage: Eukaryota; Fungi; Basidiomycota; Agaricomycetes; Polyporales; Polyporaceae.
UUUAGCAACGGAUCUCUUGGCUCUCGCAUCGAUGAAGAACGCAGCGAAAUGCGAUAAGUAAUGUGAAUUGCAGAAUUCAGUGAAUCAUCGAAUCUUUGAACGCACCUUGCGCUCC